AACGAACGCUGGCGGCGUGCUUAACACAUGCAAGUCGAACGAGAAAGUUCCUUCGGGAAUGAGUACAGUGGCGAACGGGUGCGUAACACGUGAGAAUCUGCCCAUUAGUGAAGAAUACCCUGGAGAAAUUCAGGCUAAUACUGCAUAAUCCCUACGGGGGAAAGACGGCCUCUUGCUGUCGCUGAUGGAUGAGCUCGCGGACUAUUAGCUUGUUGGUGGGGUAAAAGCCUACCAAGGCGAUGAUGGUUAGCCGGCCUGAGAGGGUGACCGGCCACAUUGGGACUGAGAUACGGCCCAGACUCCUACGGGAGGCGGCAGUGGGGAAUAUUGCACAAUGGGGGAAACCCUGAUGCAGCGACGCCGCGUGAAGGAUGAAGGCCCUCGGGUCGUAAACUUCUGUACUAGGGGGAAGAAAAGCUCACGAAUAAUACGCGUGAGUAAUGACGGUACCUCUAGAGAAAGCUCCGGCUAACUUCGUGCCAGCAGCCGCGGUAAUACGAAGGGGGCGAGCGUUGUUCGGAAUCACUGGGCGUAAAGAGCGUGUAGGUGGCUAUUUAAGUCAGUUGUUAAAGACCACGGCCCAACUGUGGAAAGGCGAUUGAUACUGGAUAGCUGGAGGGCAGGAGAGAGAAGUGGAAUUCUCGGAGUAGCGGUAAAAUGCGUAGAUCUCGAGAGGAACACCAAUUGCGAAGGCAGCUUCUUGGCCUGUUCCUGACACUCAAACGCGAAAGCGUGGGGAGCAAACAGGAUUAGAUACCCUGGUAGUCCACGCCGUAAACGAUGAUCACUAGAUGUGGGUUGUGCUUGCACGAUCCGUGUCGAAGCUAACGCGUUAAGUGAUCCGCCUGGGGAGUACGGUCGCAAGACUAAAACUUAAAGGAAUUGACGGGGGUCCGCACAAGCGGUGGAACAUGUGGUUUAAUUCGACACUACGCGAGGAACCUUACCUGGGCUUGACAUAUAGUCGACCGCUCCAGAGAUGGAGCCUUCUAAGUUUACUUAGACGUCUAUACAGGUGCUGCAUGGCUGUCGUCAGCUCGUGUCGUGAGAUGUUAGGUUAAGUCCUUUAACGAGCGCAACCCCUGCCUCUAGUUGCCAUCCUUCGGAGGCACUCUAGCGGGACUGCCCGGGGAACCGGGAGGAAGGUGGGGACGAGGUCAAGUCCUCAUGGCCCUUAUGCCCAGGGCUACACACGUGUUACAAUGGCGAGUACAAAGGGACGCAAUCCCGCGAGGGGGAGCCAGUCCAAAAAACUCGUCUAAGUUCGGAUAGGAGUCUGCAAUUCGACUCCUUGAAGCUGAAAUCGCUAGUAAUCGCGUAUCAGAAUGACGCGGUGAAUACGUUCUCGGACCUUGUACACACCGCCCGUCACACCACGAAAAUCGUCUGUACCCGAAAUCAUUUUAGCUAACCGGAAACGGAGGCGGGUGAUGAAGGUACGGGGGGUGAUUGGGGUG
RNAcentral lists this ribosomal RNA (1457 nucleotides) under uncultured bacterium. Its description in RNAcentral is "bacterial SSU rRNA". It matches the Rfam family "Bacterial small subunit ribosomal RNA". The record is from RNAcentral.